RNAcentral lists this ribosomal RNA (497 nucleotides) under uncultured bacterium. RNAcentral's name for it is "partial 16S ribosomal RNA". It matches the Rfam family "Bacterial small subunit ribosomal RNA", at positions 28 to 507 of the family's 1533-position model. The record is from RNAcentral.
GACGAACGCUGGCGGCGUGCCUAAUACAUGCAAGUAGAACGCUGAAGGAAGGAGCUUGCUCUUUCUGGAUGAGUUGCGAACGGGUGAGUAACGCGUAGGUAACCUGCCUGGUAGCGGGGGAUAACUAUUGGAAACGAUAGCUAAUACCGCAUAAAAUUGAUUAUUGCAUGAUAGUCAAUUAAAAGGUGCAACUGCACCACUACCAGAUGGACCUGCGUUGUAUUAGCUAGUUGGUGGGGUAACGGCUCACCAAGGCGACGAUACAUAGCCGACCUGAGAGGGUGAUCGGCCGCACUGGGACUGAGACACGGCCCAGACUCCUACGGGAGGCAGCAGGAGGGAAGCUUCGGCGAUGGACGGAAGUCUGACCGAGCAACGCCGCGUGAGUGAAGAAGGGUUUCGGAUCGUAAAGCUCUGUUGUAAGAGAAGAACGAGUGUGAGAGUGGAAAGUUCACACUGUGACGGUAUCUUACCAGAAAGGGACGGCUAACUACGUG